UACGGAGGGUGCAAGCGUUGUCCGGAUUUAUUGGGUUUAAAGAGCGUGUAGGCGGCCAGGUAGGUCGGUUGUGAAAACUGGAGGCUCAACCUUCAGAGGUCGACCGAAACCAUCUGGCUAGAGUCCGGGAGAGGAGAGUGGAAUUCCUGGUGUAGCGGUGAAAUGCGCAGAUAUCAGGAAGAACACCCGUGGCGAAAGCGGCUCUCUGGAACGGUACUGACGCUGAGACGCGAAAGCGUGGGGAGCGAACAGG
This 253-nucleotide ribosomal RNA is filed under the name uncultured bacterium. RNAcentral's name for it is "partial 16S ribosomal RNA". It matches the Rfam family "Bacterial small subunit ribosomal RNA", at positions 524 to 776 of the family's 1533-position model. The record is from RNAcentral.